RNAcentral lists this long non-coding RNA (2201 nucleotides) under Mytilus galloprovincialis (Mediterranean mussel). Lineage: Eukaryota; Metazoa; Mollusca; Bivalvia; Mytilida; Mytilidae. The record is from RNAcentral.
GUCGGGUAAGGCACGUUACACUGUAUAACUAUUUGCGUAAAUGAUACGCAUAUGAAAAUGUGAACAAAUUAAUCUGACCUUGACAUGUAUAUUUCCAAGGCGUAGUUCGCUUUAUUUUUAUCUUCAGUAACAUAAAAGAUGGCAACACGUCACGCGGUUCUUCCUCGUGCAUAUUUCUUGUUUAUUAUGGUAUUAACAGCAAAGUUUAUUCUAUUUUUUUACGUUUUUAAAAUCAAUUUAGACCACUCCUUUAUGUGAUCGCAAUACAUUCAAAUGGUAUAAAAACCGACACGAUUGGAAUAUUUCGGAAGAGUCUUGUUUUUGGCUUUCAACGUAGAAAUCAUAGGUAAGUUAUCAUUGAAUCUUAUUAUUGAAGAACAAUUAAAUCAUUCAAGAGUGCUUUCGAGAAAUUGUAUUUUGAUAUUUUCAUUUAUUGGUUUGAAAGAUUGAUAAUUUUUGAAAACUUACGAAAAACUCUGUUAAUAUCGGCAUUUAAUCAACAGUUUCUGUAAUCAAAUGGUCAACGUCCACUUGUAUUUUUAUCCACCUGAUGGUUUAAGCUUUUUUCAACUGAUUUUUAUGGUUUGUUCUUAAGUUGUACUGUUAUUCCACUGUUCCAGGUUAGGGAAGGGUUGGGAACCCACUAACAUGUUUAACCCCGCCACAUAUAUAUGUUUAUGUCUGUCCCAAGUCAGGAGCCAGUAAUUAAGUGGUUGUCAUUGGUUUAUGUGUUACAUACAUGUUUUUCGUUAAUUUUUUGUACAUACAAUGACCGUCAGUUUUCUCGUUUGAAUUGUUGUACAUUGUCAUUUCGAGGCCUUUUAUAGCCGACUAUGCGGUGUGGGCUUUGCUUAUUGUUGAUGGCCGUAUGGUAACCUAUUGUUUUUAUUUUUUGUGUCAUUUUGGUCUCUUGUGGAAGUUGUCUCACACAUCUUCUUUUUUUAAAUUCAUCCCUGAAUUGAACUGAAAUACUUAAAACUCUGUAGGUGAAACAAUAUGUUCGUAGUUCAUAGUUGAGUGUCAUUUGGUAAGGUCAUAUCGAGGAAAAGAAAAUAGGUUGCGGUUACUUUAACAUGUUCAAUUGAAACAAACCUUUGGUCAUAUGCGAUACAUUUAUUGAAUAAUAAUCAACCACCUAGUGGUGGGAAACAUACAACUUACAUUUUUUACGUCAAAACGUUUUUCUCGAUGGCGCUGUUUCGGUUUUUUUAUAUAUGUUUAACGCUGUUACACAAUUUAUCAAUUUAUCAAUUAUGGGGAUUUUCUCUGUAUCUUAUGUCAUUUCACGGAUUCAUGAUAAAGGUUAAGGGUUCAGUUUUGACAAAUUAAUGUGACUUAGAUCUAUUAAAUGCUUGCUAACCUAAUUCAUAUAAGAAUACUUUUCGUUGGUGUUUUUGCCGAAAAUCAAAAUUUGUUUUCAUAUAUUAAUGGCAGGAAAAUACUGUUAGUAUACAAAAGAAGAUGUGGUAUGAUUUCCAAUGAGACAACUGUCCACGAGAGACAAAUGACACAGACAUUAACAAAUAUAGGUCUCCACAAGGCCUUCAACUAUGAGCAAAGCCCAUACCACAUAGUCAGCUAUAAAAGGCCCAGAUAUGACAAUGUAAAACAAUUCAAACGAGAAAACUAACGGUCUUAUUUAUAUAUAAGGAUGAACGAAAAACACAUAUGUCACACAUAAACAAACGACAACCACUGAAUUACAGGCUCCUGACUUAAGACAGGCACAUACAUAAAUAAUGUGUCGGGGUUAAACAUGUUAGCGGGAUUCUAACCCUCCCCUUAUCAAUUUAGAAUUAUAGGCUUAUAAAUUUACUGACAAAAAUGGUAGAAGAUCUUGUUAUUUGACUAGGAUAAACAUAACGAAUUGAGUGUUUUCAUAGAGAUGGAGAGGGCUUUUUUUGGUGUUUUUUUUUUGUUUUUGCUUUUUGUUUUUAUUUGUAUUCUGAUAAGUAAUCAUUCGUUGUAUGUUGCAGCAUAUGCUAUUAGAUAUUCCCAUAAAAAAUAGUUACUAUAAUAAUUAUGUAAACACAGAAAACGAUUUUCAGAUACUUAAUUACAUUUUCGAAUUUUCCAAUCUAUAGUUGCAGUUUAAACGUGGUUGCGGUUGUAAGAAAAAGAAACAAUACCCACUGUGAAAAUGUUCCUUGUUGUAUAAAAUUGAGAAUGGAAAUGGGGAAUGUGUCAAAGAGACAACAACC